AACCACCUGAGAUUUGUAGAUGAUAUAAUACUGUUUGCUCAAACACCAAAUGAACUGCAGGAAAUGCUAAGUGACUUGAAGACAAAGUGAGAAACUAGGACUGCAAAUAAACUACAAGAAGACAAAGGUAAUGUUUGAUACAGAAGUAAUCCCACAACCAAUGACAAUUGAAGGCCAGACAAUUGAAAGGGUGGAAAGAAUACAAAUAUUUAAUACUUGUAUUCUUUCUGGCUUUCAAUUGGUCCAACCUCCUUGUGUUGUGAAUAUAAGUAAUCACAGCACAAAAGACCAAAUGAAAGAAAUUCAAUAUGGGAUGCAAUUGGGAUGGUAUGCCUGUGGCCCAAUAUAGUAACAUCCUAAAGGACUAUAGGAUACCAAUAUGCCUCAAAAGGAAACUCUUCAGCAUGUGCAUACUAUCAGUAAUGACAUAUAGCU
This 435-nucleotide long non-coding RNA is filed under the name Androctonus crassicauda. Lineage: Eukaryota; Metazoa; Arthropoda; Arachnida; Scorpiones; Buthidae. The record is from RNAcentral.